RNAcentral lists this transfer RNA (72 nucleotides) under Ictidomys tridecemlineatus (thirteen-lined ground squirrel). RNAcentral describes it as "Spermophilus tridecemlineatus (thirteen-lined ground squirrel) tRNA". It matches the Rfam family "tRNA". From Rfam's summary of the family: Transfer RNA (tRNA) molecules are approximately 80 nucleotides in length. Their secondary structure includes four short double-helical elements and three loops (D, anti-codon, and T loops). Further hydrogen bonds mediate the characteristic L-shaped molecular structure. tRNAs have two regions of fundamental functional importance: the anti-codon, which is responsible for specific mRNA codon recognition, and the 3' end, to which the tRNAs corresponding amino acid is attached (by aminoacyl-tRNA synthetases). tRNAs cope with the degeneracy of the genetic code in two manners: having more than one tRNA (with a specific anti-codon) for a particular amino acid; and 'wobble' base-pairing, i.e. permitting non-standard base-pairing at the 3rd anti-codon position. Lineage: Eukaryota; Metazoa; Chordata; Mammalia; Rodentia; Sciuridae. The record is from Rfam by way of RNAcentral.
GCGGGAGUAGCUCAGUGGUAGAGCACUUGUCUAGUAUGUGCAAGGUCCUGGGUUCAAACCCUAGCACCCCUG